GCCGGCUCCGGCGGCGGGGCCCUCCAGCCAGCCUACUUAUAUCACAGCGGCCGCCAGCCGACGCCACUCCAACACGCUCCGCCGUUGCGCGCACCUUAUGAUUUUUCUUUCUGCCAUUCAAGUAUUUUGUUGACGAUUAAGAUGAAGCAAAGUUUGAUUAUAUUGAUUGUUCUGUGUGGUUUCAUCGCUGCCAUGGUUCCCCGGGAUAGGCGAGCUGUUAACACAGAAGAUGAGGAGUUGUUCAAAUCGCAAUCAAGCACGACUGCAUCUGAGACCGCUAAUCAGCCCAUGAUCUGCGCGAAGCAGACUCCCUGCGCCUGGUCUAUCUACAAACCUAUAAGCAAAUAUAUUGAAAUGAAUAUUACAAAUACAUAUUGCAUCUGUUCAGCGACCGAAAACUGUAUUAUUACAUAUGACGAUUCAACAAUAAACGCAUACAUACAUUACUGUAGGCCCGCCAAUCACAAAGAGGACAUAGAUCAGAGUUAGCAAGUGACUCACACGCCCCAAACGCUACUAGCAAGCUGAGAAGGCUUGUUCACACCCACCGCAUUGUCAAUCAGCUAAUAACGGCACCGACGCCGCGACGACUCCGCAUCGGAAGACUGUUCAAAUUUAAACGAUUGCACCGUCAUGUAUUGAUGGUCAUGAAACAUGGUAACUUCAAUAGCUUCCAUUCUGUAUGUAUAAAGUAACUGCGUUUAAUUUGCUGUAUGCAGGAUUGUUUAACAUAAAAUACCAAACACAUUUGGAAUAUUCCACCUUAAUAUUUUUUUUAUUAAUAGCUUAGAUGUAAGUGGAAAAUUCUUGCUGACAAUGUGUUUCCUUUGAAAUAAUAUAACAUUUUCACUCGUAAGAUUUUUUGUAAAAUUGUAGUUCGGUUUGUCGCAAAUAUUCUAUUGGAUAAUUUGUUAUUUAAGUAUUGAUUCCGAUUUUAAUUUAUUUUCUGUGUAAUGCCUACAGUUACUUGCGUCUGACCACGAUUGAAGUUUUGGCGCGGUUACACUUAACAUUUACUUAAUUUUAAAUAUAAUUAUAUAAUAUGUAUGUGAAUGUAGAAUGUGCUUUAUUCAUCUAAGUUUUAGUUUCCUACUGUCUACAAUCUGUUUUAAUUGCGUACUCGUUUAGAUGUUUUAAAUUAGCAUACGGUUGGAUCACAUCCGAAAAAGAGGGAGUUGAUAGUCUGUUUGCUUUAUGCUUAUGACUUGCUACGAUAUCAUCAUCUAAAGCAGUCCAAGCUAAGGUCCACAGGUUCGUUCGGACUACUCUAUGUAUCUACCGAUAUUGCAAAGGCAACAAUGCGAUGUCACAAAUAUUUAACCAUUCUGAUACUUUAUUUAUGUUAUAUUGUAGAAAGCAAUCUGACAGUGAAAACAAAAGUACUUAUUAAACCUUGAUACUUAUUACGUGGUUAAUUUAUCUAAGUGAUUGCUUUUUGCGCUGAUCUAGAGUAGCCAGUGAUUAGUAACGUGAACCAUUUACUUUUUAUUUUGAGCAUAUUUUGUGGCUAAAAAUGAUAGUUUUCUACUCUGAUAAUACACAAGCAAUAUAAAUACAUUAAUCAUGACAAUUAUUGUGUAGGUAUGUUUAUCGAUAUGCUUGUCCAAAAGUAACAUUUACAAAUGAUAAAACAUUACUAGAGUGAAGUCACAGUGGAGUCGACACAGAGCAGUACAUGAUAAUUUUGUAUUCUGUACUUUAUGUAUAUCUCUGAAUAAUGAAAUAGCAAAAAUAAAUAAAUUAAUGGCAUAAUAAGAUGAUUUUAAAUAACUGUUUCUCCCCAAAAUGAUUUUAUUUCACCAUUAUGCUGCUUAGUGUUUAUUAGCUAUGACUGGCCUAAGCUCUCUGCUACUGUUCCAGCAAUUAUUGUUUCUCUUCUAUUAAACUACAAGAUGAAUAAGCACGCCAUUUUUAAAGUUCCUAUUUUAAUUUUUUAAUUAUUUAUAAUUGUAAUUAUUAAGUGAUUGUAGUUUUUUUAAACGUAGCUAGUUCAUGACAUAAUAAACAUAUUAUUGUAUUAUUAGCUUAUAUGAAAUAUUUUUUUAAAAUGUAGUAUUUGAGUAAAUAAACAGUUUGCAAA
RNAcentral lists this long non-coding RNA (2080 nucleotides) under Manduca sexta (tobacco hornworm). Its description in RNAcentral is "uncharacterized LOC115439929". Lineage: Eukaryota; Metazoa; Arthropoda; Insecta; Lepidoptera; Sphingidae. The record is from RNAcentral.